GGUUCUGUGCCAAAACCGACAUAAACAGAGAGUCGUAUUUUAAGAACUCUCAAGACUUUCAGAUUUCAUUCAAAUAGAGUUCUGUAGGUGCCAUAUAAAAUGCAACGCCUCAGCUGGCUGCUGUGUGAUCUGGCACGUGAGUUCACGUAAAAAGGAAACUCCCAGUGAUGGAAAGGAAACUAAUCUUUUGUACAGCAUCUUUCAUACAUACUCUAAAGCAAAACACUUAAUCAAAGUGUUCUAGACAUAGUCAAAGAGGUAAACCAGAUUACAUAAAGAGAGAAAAGUCAAGAGUGAGCAGGGCAAAACGCUAACCUCUCAUUCUGUUUUUGUGGAGAGACCAUUUCUUUGGCUUUUUCCAUCACGCACUUUCACCUGGUGCAUGAAGAAGGCCUGGUCUGCGAUGAUGGUUUAUUUUACACUGGACUAUUUUUCAUGGCUGAUAUUUUCUAUUCUACUGGCACAAGAACUUUUACUACGUGAGCAGUCUUACAUUGAAGGAGAACAGAAGAUUGCUCAAACAAUAGUUAAGCCAAGAGGACACAGCAUGCCAGUGAGUGGGUGGCAUCCAGGGUAAGGUCUACCCAGCACCUACUGUCCCCAGGCAUCAAAAUCCCCAGCAACUCAGAGGGCUAUCCAUUGGAAAACAAAGACCCUGAGUGAGACAUUAUCUUUAAAGAAGUGUUUUUAUUUGCUUCAAAACCAGAGAGAGUCUGCUGUACAAAGAAAUGAACUCCAUACAGCAUAAAACACUGACAUGAAGGCACUCUGUAAGGAAGUAGAGAGAAAAGGUCUGGGAACAAGGAAGAGAAAAAAAGGCACAGAGUGCUUCAAGAAGCAUGGCCAUUUUGGAUCUGGACAGAAGGGAGCACAGAGCCGAUGGAGACUGGGGACAGCAGUGGUACUACUUAGCUCAACAUGAGAAAAGUACCAGCAAGCCUUGUGUAAAGAAAUGUUCUCUGCAAGGGUCCUGAGGAGAAGGGCCGGCUGAACUAAGAGGUGCACAAAACUGCAAAGGCAUGCAGCAGCUUUUAAAAUGUAACAGCCAGUGGGGGUGGGGGUGGUUUAAGACUUACUUCUGCUAAAAGACCUUUUGUUUCUGCUGGAAUGGAAGAUGCAACAUGCAGAGCAUCUUUCUCUAACCUGACACUGGCUGUGGGUUUGCUGCCCAAACCAGCUCCACCAGUGCAUGUGUGCAUGCCGUGACGGAGGAAAACUAUUGGGCUGAGAUUGUCAGGAGGGGAACUGAGGAGUAUGAAAACAUCACAAUAAGUGUAAGUUACUAUCGUUGAACUUGGCACAAAACAAAACAAAACAUUAAUCCAACAGAGCACUUGAAUAAUGAACACCCUUUUUGUACAGGCAAAACAUCACCAACAGUCACCUACCACUGCAAAUUUGCCUGCCAUGUCUGAGUGUCACAGACAGGUGUCCAGACAGCUCCCCUGUGGUUUAGGCAAAUACUUGUCUAAUACUGUGGUUAAUUUAAGCAACAAUAAAAACAAUGCUUCAUUUUGGACAGAGAUUCCACAUAGCAAUCUCAGUGAGUUUAGGGAGGGUCAUACUUGCCGGCCCCUUUCAGCUGCUGUUACUUUCUCCUGUGACCCUCUAUAUGUACAAUAUUCAGCACACCACAGGAAUUAUGAGGCACUACUAAGUGCCGCCACACAACAACACAUUUUUCUCAACAAAUUUCUAGUUAGAGAACAAGUUCUGCCUAUUCAAAGUAGUCAUUUUGUGAACUUAAAAACAAGACACCCCAUCCCUCAUUCCCUAAGGGCUCCAAGUGACCCAUAACCUUCAAGAACUUCAACAAAUAAUGAUUCUUUUCAUUACCAUCCUUGAGUUCAAAACAAUGGAAAAAUCUAGCUCUGUACUAAUGCUACAGAUAUUUUAGCAGAGGUUUUUGAGUACAUAAUCAAAACAGCACUUCAAAAGAGGGAAUAUGGAAAUAAUUAUAAGAGAAGGUCACAAGGGUGUAGGCUGCUUCAAUAUGGUCACAACAAAAAUGAAUUAAUUGGGACACACACCAAACAAGCAGGCUCAAUUAAGUCAAUAAGUCUCUUUAACAAUUCACUUCAGCAUUAGUCAUCAUCCCUCCUUUAUCUUUUAAGAGUAUAAUAUCCUCUUCCCUAUGGUGGAUUUUUAGCUGUCAGUUCUGGGAAGCUCAUGGGAAGCUGGAAAAAUAUCAGCUUUCUGAUAAACCUGAGCUGGUGAAAGCUGGUCCCUUGCCAAGCAGCUGCAUAUUUUUCGUUGAUGCAAAAGAAGAUCCCGUAAGUGUUUUGAAGGUACAUCUUUGAAAGGUUUAUUCCUGGAGUCCUAACUACAGUGCUGCUUUCUUCUCUUUCUGCUGAAUCUUUUCUCUGUAGCAAAGUGCUUUUUCUAUUCAGCAAGCUGCUUAGUCUGUUUGUGACAAACCAGAGUUGGUCUCUAGUGCAACAGGAGCCUCAGCACAUUGUGGAAGAUUUCUCAGCUCCAAGAAAACCACCUGCUUCCACCCACCUUGCCCUCUGGGCAGCUCUGUCUGCCACAACUGGAGCUGUGUGUCCAUACAGUGGUCCUGAAAUCUCACCAAAAGGUACCCAGCAACCGAUCUCGCCAGUGACCUGAAGAAUCAGUCUUGGCUAACUGGGGAGGUCCCAGUUGACUGGAAGUUGGCUAACGUGAUACCCAUGUACAAGAAGGGCCAGAAGGAUGAUCCAGGGAACUACAGGCCUGUCAAUCUAACCUCAGUGCUGGAGAAGAGUGCACUGACCACCCCUUCUGAAAAGCCUUUAGCCUGACUUUUGUCAAGAAAUGCUGAGAGAGGAGACUGUUGCUGGUUGAAGAUGUAACUGAAGAAGAGAAUAAAGCGUGACCUGAAUACAUAAGUAACUGUCUGGAGUCACUGAAUCAGCCUUGUGACUGCUAGUAGCUGUCGAACACAAAAAGUUCCCCAGGGACUGGCUUUGGACUCUGAUAUAUGGUACUUGGAUUAUUAUUUUCUUUAAUGUAGCUUAAAUAUUUUUUUCAAUUACUGCUUCACAGCCUUUUAUACUACAUUAUAUUUUAAUCUGUUGUUCAAUGCCAUGCCUAGCAUUUAUACUAGCAACUGAAAGAAUGAAAUAUUUAACCAAAAAAGAUAAAGCUAAGAAAACAAGCAAAAAGUAUCAUGAAGUGUCAUUCAAAGAAGAUAAAUUCAUAUUUAUAACCUUUGGUGAUUUACUGUCUGCUCUCACAUUCUGUAAUUCACUUAAAACAGCUGCUCCUCUGUUUCGUCUUCACACCUCCAUAGACCUCAGAAGCAACAAAAUCCACAAGGGCAGAUCCUUAUGGUCACAUGGAAGCAUAUGGAUAGAAAUUAAAUAGAUUGUCCUUUGCAAUAGGUAUUCCUUGAAGAUGUGGAAGUGAGAGGUGUUAAUGAGCCUUAACAAAGAAGGUCAACAUUUAUUAUCUCUCCAUUCUUCUGAAAGAGUAGAUCAUAUUUAUACUUUGGGUUAUUCAGACAGUUUGACACCACACAGAUGGUCAAGAAGAAAUCAGGUAAGUAGGUUUGAAAACGAAGUGAACAGGAGGGAGAAAACAGAGAGUGGUGGUUGGACUAUUUUCAAUCAAUCCUGCUUGCAAUCCAAAUGUGAUGAAGAAAACAAGUCAGAUGUCUAGAGGGUCUGGUGACAGAACAGCCACCCAGCAUGAGGCUGAGGGCUAAGAGGGAGAGACAGCCAAACUCAACAGGCGGUGAAUUGGGAAAAGGCAGAUGAAAGUGGAUCCAGAACAAGAGGAAAGGAAGUGUGUAACACAUCCCUCCUCGUAAUCCAGGGGAUAAAGCUUGAUGUGACAAAUAUGAGAUGCAGAAGGAAGCUCCCACAGGAGAAAGCAUCUAAAAAAACUCCACCAAACCAGAAAAUGAAGAAACUGACUGAGAAACAGUGCUGGACAAGGUAAGGAGGUUUCUAGGAGCCCAUGGAGAGAGGAUGAAUGCUGCCAGUAGGGCAGAUGUCCCACAGCAAGGCACCUCACUUUGCUCUGAAAGACUUUGAUGGCUCAAACAGGCAUCAAAUAACUUUUGGUUACCACCUCGAGUGGAUUGCUACUCGCCUGUCGAUUUGUGAUCUUUCAGGUACCACACAUUUACCCAAGAGGUAAAUAUAGUGUGAAUGUCACAAAAGCUUGUCCCAUUUGUAAGGUUAUUUCUAUUUUGUUGCAUCUAAAAGACAAAAAGUUCAAGAAAUGAUUUAUUCAGAAAAAAGGUAUGCAGGUCAGGCAAUCAUGCAAACACUGCUUUAAAAACAUUUAUUUGGUCAAAGAAGUUUUCUUUCCUUCUUCUCUCUGCACUGAUCUGUUAUUAUAAUGUCUUCCUACUUUCUGCAGUGUCCCCGUCAUCAAAGAUGCAUUUUAUUUCUUUGGAGCCUUCCACUUACAUGUUCAUCUGUCACCUCUGGCAAGCACACUGUAUUUAAAAACGGAGAACUCCUUUUGUGAAAUAUGUAAUUAAGGCUUGCUACAAGCUUGUUUGCUGAAAGCCUGCAAAGGGCUCACAAGCUCAAAUAUAUAUUGACUGUAUGAAAUUGCAGCAUUCCAAAUACUAUAUAUCUUACUCCUUUCCCAAUUUACUUUCACAAAGGGUUUAUCUGCAGCACCAGAAUUCUUAUUUCUAGUAAGUCAGUUAAAAUAAAGAGAGGAAUACUGCAGUUCCUCAGUAAGAUAUGUCCUGCAACUUCUUGAAGGAUCCUAAGCGGUCCUGCAGUCUUCACUUGUCACCACCAGCACCACAGCAACCUGUCUGGCGUUAUUUUAGGAUGUAUCUCUUACUGUGAGCAGACUCAUCCACUAUCAGCCUGAGAUAAGCAACUUCAUUUUUCACAUAAAAAUUUUGUAUGUUCUCCACAAAACCAAAAAGAUUUUCUUUUUUGUUCUGACUCAAGCCUCCACUGAAAUUCCAGGCUGGUUUGCCUGACCCCCUGACCCCUUGGCAGUAGUGGGGUCUUUUUGGUUUGGUUUUGGUUUGGGUUUGUUUUGUUUGUUUGGGUUUUUGUUUGUUGGGUUGGGUUUUUUUCAAAUGCCUUUUUGUAGCUGUUGAAAGCGGUCAGUGCUGUACCCCACAACACCAAUCCAGGGGCAACUGUUCAGACAAACCCACAUACCCCAGUGUGCGGCCAGGGCUGAGCUCGCCCCGGUCUGGGAGCCUUGUAGCACUGGCAGCAGAGCGUGAACAAAGGAAGCGUCUAUGUAGCCGUGCUGUCAGUCACAACAUGUGUCACAUAUCGUAAGUUAUUUAGAGGGAUUUAAUAAUACUCUAAAAAUAAAAAUUAACACAAAAUAUUUCUCAAAUAUAAGAACCCUAGUUCCACUUGCAAGGAGGACAUGGACUUUUUGUUUCGUAAGUCCUGAAAAACACAUCA
This is a long non-coding RNA of Columba livia (rock pigeon), 5381 nucleotides long. RefSeq lists it as uncharacterized. The record is from RefSeq and is a predicted model, not a curated record. NCBI's taxonomy places the organism in Eukaryota, Metazoa, Chordata, Aves, Columbiformes, Columbidae. The transcript is spliced from 3 exons.